RNAcentral lists this ribosomal RNA (465 nucleotides) under uncultured bacterium. RNAcentral's name for it is "partial 16S ribosomal RNA". It matches the Rfam family "Bacterial small subunit ribosomal RNA", at positions 28 to 507 of the family's 1533-position model. The record is from RNAcentral.
GACGAACGCUGGCGGCGUGCUUAACACAUGCAAGUCGAACGGAAAGGCCCUGCUUGCAGGGUACUCGAGUGGCGAACGGGUGAGUAACACGUGGGUGAUCUGCCCUGCACUUCGGGAUAAGCCUGGGAAACUGGGUCUAAUACCGGAUAGGAGCCAUUUUUAGUGUGAUGGUUGGAAAGUUUUUUCGGUGUAGGAUGAGCUCGCGGCCUAUCAGCUUGUUGGUGGGGUAAUGGCCUACCAAGGCGGCGACGGGUAGCCGGCCUGAGAGGGUGGACGGCCACAUUGGGACUGAGAGACGGCCCGGCCCCCUAGGGGGGGCGGCGGGGGGGAUUUUUGAAAAAGGGGCGAAAGCCGUAGGCAGCGACCCCGGGUGGGGGAUGGCGCCCUGGGGGUUGUAACCUCCUUUCGCUGGGGACGAGGCUUUUUGUGACGGUCCCUAAAAAAGAAGCCCCGGCUAACUCCGUC